GACGAACGCUGGCGGCGUGCUUAACACAUGCAAGUCGAACGGUGAAGCGCCUUCCUUUUUGGUGGGUGUGGAUGAGUGGCGAACGGGUGAGUAACACGUGAGUAACCUGCCCCCUUCUUCUGGAUAACCGCAUGAAAGUGUGGCUAAUACGGGAUAUUCUGGGUCUGUCGCAUGAUGGGUCUGGGAAAGAUAUUGUUUCGGUGGGGGAUGGGCUCGCGGCCUAUCAGCUUGUUGGUGGGGGGAUGGCCUACCAAGGCGGUGACGGGUAGCCGGCCUGAGAGGGUGGACGGUCACACUGGGACUGAGACACGGCCCAGACUCCUACGGGAGGCAGCAGUGGGGAAUAUUGCACAAUGGGCGCAAGCCUGAUGCAGCGACGCCGCGUGAGGGAUGGAGGCCUUCGGGUUGUGAACCUCUUUCGCCAGUGAAGCAGGCCUGCCUCGUUUGUGGGUGGGUUGACGGUAGCUGGAUAAGAAGCGCCGGCUAACUACGUG
Molecule: ribosomal RNA, 494 nt
Filed under: uncultured bacterium
Lineage: Bacteria
Description: partial 16S ribosomal RNA
Rfam family: Bacterial small subunit ribosomal RNA
Source: RNAcentral